RNAcentral lists this ribosomal RNA (270 nucleotides) under uncultured archaeon. RNAcentral's name for it is "partial 16S ribosomal RNA". It matches the Rfam family "Archaeal small subunit ribosomal RNA", at positions 477 to 747 of the family's 1478-position model. The record is from RNAcentral.
CAGCACCUCAAGUGGUCAGGAUGAUUAUUGGGCCUAAAGCAUCCGUAGCCGGCGCUGUAAGUUUUCGGUUAAAUCUGUACGCUCAACGUACAGGCUGCCGGGAAUACUGCAGCGCUAGGGAGUGGGAGAGGUAGACGGUACUCGGUAGGAAGGGGUAAAAUCCUUUGAUCUAUUGAUGACCACCUGUGGCGAAGGCGGUCUACCAGAACACGUCCGACGGUGAGGGAUGAAAGCUAGGGGAGCAAACCGGAUUAGAUACCCGCGUAGUCC